Molecule: ribosomal RNA, 637 nt
Filed under: uncultured rumen bacterium
Lineage: Bacteria
Description: bacterial SSU rRNA
Rfam family: Bacterial small subunit ribosomal RNA
Source: RNAcentral
GUGCAUCUAGAUUAGAGUUUGAUCCUGGCUCAGGAUGACGCUAGCGGCAGGCUUACACAUGCAAGUCGAGGGGCAGCGCGAGGUAGCAAUACCUUGGCGGCGACCGGCGCAAGGGUGCGUAACGCGUGAGCAAUCUGCCCGUAUCAGGGGGAUAAGCGAUGGAAACGUCGUCUAAUACCGCAUAACAACGAGGGAGGCAUCUUCCAUGUUUGAAAGAUUCGUCGGAUACGGAUGAGCUCGCGAGACAUUAGCUAGUCGGCGGGGUAACGGCCCACCGAGGCUACGAUGUCUAGGGGAACUGAGAGGUUGGUCCCCCACACUGGAACUGAGACACGGUCCAGACUCCUACGGGAGGCAGCAGUGAGGAAUAUUGGACAAUGGCCGGAAGGCUGAUCCAGCCAUGCCGCGUGAAGGAAGAAGUCCUAUGGAUUGUAAACUUUUUUUGUAUGGGAGCAAUAAGUCGUCGUGACGUCCGAUGAGAGUACCAUACGAAUAAGCAUCGGCUACUCCGUGCCACAGCCGCGGUAAUACGGAGGAUGCGAGCGUUAUCCGGAUUUAUUGGGUUUAAAGGUGCGUAGCGGUUGUCAGUCAGCGGUGAACGCACGGCUCACCCGUGACUGCGUGAACUGACGACUGA